CAUACCCUCAUUUUUAUACUGGAGAACUUCACUGCAGCAAUUCCUGAUCAUCGCUACUGGGUCCAGAGUCUUGACAAUGACAUUGUCUCUGGUAAUGACACUGGGAUCCUCAGCCAAGAUGCCCUUAGAGGAUCUCCAUUCCCCUAGAUCCAAAUCUAAAACCAGAAAAGUGUCGUCGCUUCCUCUAUCCCCAGUGGCAGCUCCUUCACUUGAAUGAAACUGUCACCAACACAGCUGAGGCAGACACGGAGCCCUGUGUGGAUGGCUGGGUGUAUGACAGAAGCUACUUCCCCUCCACCAUCAUAACUGAGGUUUGGGCGGAAGGUGGUCUACCUGUGGUGCUUACUCCAGCUGGGCAUCGUUGACACCGCAGCAGCUUUCACCCCCACCUUCCUCAUUUACUGCAUAUUACGCUUCUGGGCUGGGUUGAGUGUCACGACUAUUAUGAUACAUUCUUUUUGUCUCAUGUCAGAUGGACAACAUCCCAAAGGAAGUCUGUGAGAAUAGUCCUGAUGAUGUCUCCUACAAUAUUGGGCAAAUCUUCCUUGGAGGACUGGCUUUUACCAUUCAAAAGUGGUACACACUACACCUGGCUGUGUCUAUACCCUUGCUUGUCCUCCUCUUGCCCUCCAGGUAUGAAGAGUCUCCACAUUCUAUCCAAGGGAAGCCAACAUGAGAACAUAAGGGUGGUGUCACUGGGUAUCUAUAUGGUCCCAAUACUGGUCCUAACCCCAUUAACACCCAUUUUGCCAUUCAAGAUGCAAGAAAUGAAAUAGAAAGGAAGUCUGAAUGGAGAUUGGCAAUUUGCAGUCACCAUUUUUGCAUACUAGGCACAAAAUUAUCAUGAAAUAAUUGUAAUAGAAAAAAUCAAAAAUGUUAUCAUACUUUCAUGAGUGCAGAAUAAUAAUAUAUAAGAGUGAGGAUCAUUGUGACAUACUCAAAAAUGCACAUAACAUAAUUUGUGAAAUUUCAUUUCCCAGUAUCUCCUCUUUCCCCACCCUCCUAAUAUCCUCCUCUACUCGUCUGGUCUCUCUUAUACAUGUUACUUUCUUAAUUAGUGCACUAUGAUUAUAUAUAAAAGUGGGAUUCAUUGUGGUUUGUUCAUACAUACACAUAGCAUAAUUCAGUUAAUUUCAAUAUCCAGUAACUCCUUGGCAUCCUUUCCUCCCCCACCUUUCUCUACCAUCCUCUGCUUUACUGUUCACCCUUCUAUUUUCAUGAGCUCCUUCUAUUUUAUUCCUUUUUUCUCUCUACCUUCCACAUAUGAAAGAAAAUAUUCAGUCUUUGACUUUCUGAGUCUGGCUUAUUUCACUUGCAUUAUGCUGACCAAGUCAACCCAUUUACCUGCAAAUAACAUAAUUUCAUUCUUCUUUAUGGCUGAAUAAAACUGAAUAAUAAUGCUUCUCAGUGAGGUAGAUGUUUAAUGGAUUUCAGUAAAAUUCAAUACUGAACAGUCAGAGACACAAAGAGGCCCAGAAAUACUGAUGUUUCAAAUGUAGGAUAUGAAAAUGUACUUUAGUGCCAAGCUAGUGGUGGCUACAGCUCUGGGUCACCAAAGAUGAGAGAGGUAUAAAGAAAGAAGCAGCAGAAAAAAAUGUCAUGGAGACACCAAUAGAAUAGAAAGGAAGUCUGAACUUAGCUUAUUCUGGAUCUAUACUUGGAGUUGAUGAUUGAAAAGUGCUCUGUCUCUGUAUUUCUCAAGUUGAGAGGAGAGAGCCAAAGUGGGAAGCCAACUCAUGGAAGUCACACUUGACGUGGGGAACACCUUUGCUACAGGAACCAAUAGAAAAGAUUGACACAGCAUCCUGGCUGGCAUCUACCAUAUGGCCUAGAAUGCAUGCCAUUGAAACAGGCACACAGAAGAUUUUAUCUAGGAGAAUCAGCUCAAAGAUACAGCGGGGAUGGCAACUUACUUUCCCUUGGAGUGUGAUGCUCACUCAAUCAGCUGAAGAGAUUCAGGAAACAAACAGGCAGGCAUGAUUAUAUUCAAGGAUUGAGUCUUGUAAGGCCAUAGUCCUAGGUGGUGGAGUGUGCUAUGACCUGUUGUGCCCCCUCCACCGAGGGAAGUUGGUUACCCUAUGAGUAAAAUUGUCAAGAAGUGUCUGGGAUUGGGACAACCAGAAGAAACUGGCAUCUGCCUGGCCCUAUGGGUUUGUUGAUCUUAUCUCUCCAGAAUAUGAAAAAGUUCCAAUCAUGGAUAGAUCCAAACUGUGAAAACUUUCCAUUUAGAAAUUUGCAUCAUCCCUCUCCUAGUCAAGUGAUAUUUCUCUUUCCAACCUACCUUGUACUGAUGAGCAAGAAACUAAGAGUCAUUUCAACUAACUUUGAGUCAGGACACUCCAUAUUUGGUUCUAGGUGUAGCAAUCAAUACAAAAGAAGGAAAGGUUUAAUA
Molecule: non-coding RNA, 2392 nt
Organism: Ictidomys tridecemlineatus (thirteen-lined ground squirrel)
Lineage: Eukaryota; Metazoa; Chordata; Mammalia; Rodentia; Sciuridae
Source: RefSeq, a predicted model, not a curated record